GACGAACGCUGGCGGCGUGCUUAACACAUGCAAGUCGAACGGAAAGGCCCUGCUUUUGUGGGGUGCUCGAGUGGCGAACGGGUGAGUAACACGUGAGUAACCUGCCCUUGACUUUGGGAUAACUUCAGGAAACUGGGGCUAAUACCGGAUAGGAGCUCCUGCUGCAUGGUGGGGGUUGGAAAGUUUCGGCGGUUGGGGAUGGACUCGCGGCUUAUCAGCUUGUUGGUGGGGUAGUGGCUUACCAAGGCUUUGACGGGUAGCCGGCCUGAGAGGGUGACCGGCAACAUUGGGACUGAGAUACGGCCCAGACUCCUACGGGAGGCAGCAGUGGGGAAUAUUGCACAAUGGGCGGAGGCCUGAUGCAGCAACGCCGCGUGCGGGAUGACGGCCUUCGGGUUGUAAACCGCUUUCGCCUGUGACGAAGCGUGAGUGACGGUAAUGGGUAAAGAAGCACCGGCUAACUACGUG
Molecule: ribosomal RNA, 468 nt
Filed under: uncultured bacterium
Lineage: Bacteria
Description: partial 16S ribosomal RNA
Rfam family: Bacterial small subunit ribosomal RNA
Source: RNAcentral